GCUUUAAUGGGUUAGCAUAAUAGGCUAGUGCUAAAAAUUAGGACGGCUGAUUUUUGUUAUCCUGUUGGGUCCGUGCUGAUGCCACACCCUUUCUGGGAUUUGACAGGCCACCUUUUCCACUCACCUAGAUGAUAUGCCAAAUAAACUGAAGUUGUCAUGCUAAUGUUUUAAAGAAUGGUUGUGUUUCCUCAAGCUAUAGGAGGCUGAGGGUAACAAUGAAAUAUAAAAUGCUAAUAUCAUCACAGCUUCUGUAAAGGAGAUCAUAGGCUGAGAAAUAAUUUUAAUUGAAGGGUUAAUUUCACUGAAAAUUGAAUUGGAGGAUAGAGAAGGAACAUCUGAAAGGACACUUAUAUAUGUGAUAUUGGGCAUAUAUUAGAAAGUAUGCUAAAAGUGGCAGGUGUACUAGAGCAGUGGACUGAGGGACAAAAACUAGGAUUCUAGUCGCAGCUCUUUAAGUUUUUAUCUCUGAGUCUCACCUUCUUCCCAUUAGUGAGAGGAAUAGGUUAGAUUAUUCCUGGGGUUUAUCCCAGCUCCAGUUCAGUUUUUUUAUGAAUGAAUUCUUCAGGUGGUAGAGUCAAAGUAUUAUAUAUUUGAACGUAAAUUUAAUAGAUAAGUAAAAAAUCACUUUGCCAAAUGUUUUUGGUCUUACAAUAAGUUGAUUAAAAUGUUAUCAUUAUUUCCAUGUUAACCCCAUUCAGUGAGAUGAAAACUUUCAGAACAUUUGCAAAAUGACUGUGGUUUUCUACCAUAAGUGUCAGAGUACCAUAUGUGCUAAGGGGCAUGGAGGUGGGGAGUACAUGAUGGGCUGCUAUGUCACUUGUAAAUUGAGAACUGCUUAUAUUGGCUUUUACUAUUAAAGUUCUGCUGGCUUUUAAUAUAUACCUUUUCAAAUAUAUUCAUGUCUGAGAGAGAGAACUUCUAAAAACAUUUUGUGUUUAAUUUUUUACUAUUAUCUCUUGAAGGAAUCUAUAAGAAGGUAGAGCAGUCCACAGUACUAGCUAUCCAAUAGAAACCAAUAAUUAAGUCCAAGGAUACAGGUUUUUGUGGCAAAAUACACAUAACAUGAAUGGCAUUAUUUGGCUGUUAGUUUAAUAGUCCAAAUAUUAAGCAUAGAAUUGAUAGGUCCCAGCACAGGCGUCAUAUUUGCUGCUAACUACUCUAUUACCAGUACAGAGUAGUGGUGAAAAUCAGUAGCCAGCCAAUAGGAUUCCUUUUCUGUCUUUGAGUCAGUGGGACUUGCCUCUUACUCCCAUCCCAAUAAAAUGAGUAAGUAUUGCUUGUAGACCCAUUUCCCUUGACAACUUCCAUUCUCAGCAUACUAUUUUCUCAGAUCCUUGUCUUAUCUUUAAGUUGCUGACCAUGGUUUUAGUCUAUGCCAAAGCAUUUCAUCAUACGGCCCUAAGAAUAUGAUAGGAGAAGGUCAUGCCUGACAUGGGACAUCUGGAAAGCCCCAAGAAGCAAGACUAUUUCUGCAGGCUGUCUUUGAUAGGAGACCAACUCUGGAGGAGCUGUUAGGAUCAUCAGUUACUGGUUUUGGUUUACAUUUAAGUGGGUGCCUAAAUAACAGUACUUUGUAAUAUCUCAGGUCCCUGUGCUUUCUCUUAUCCAAGGCUCUGGAGGGCCAUCUGCUGGGCUAGACAAUGGCUUGGGAGGUAGAAGCUGGAAUGAGGAGGAAAUCUCACAACUUGUUGCUACACACUAGAGCUUCCAUCUGCUGUGGGUUUGGAUUGGACCACUGCUUUCUAGUUCUGCAAAUCAGGGAAGAAAAUGUAUAAUCGGUACCCUACUAAUCCCUAGGGCCCUCCAUUUAUCUCUGCCCUUUUCUAGUUGCAAAAGCAUAAGAUUCAUAAGUGUGGGAAUGUACUUUGUUCAUACUUAUAUUCCUAAUAUCUGUCCCUUCUACUACUCUAUGUCAGAACAAUAAAGAAGGAACAUCUAAAAGAGUGAGGGGGCUAAUCCUAGGAUUCAUUCUAGUUUCGCUUGGGAGCUGUAGUUUGAAAGUUACCAUUCAGGCUAAAAAUGUUUUAAUUAAAAGUUGUGUAAAAUUAUGAUUGGUAUGAUUAUAAUACAGCAUUUAUAUAAAGUAUAAAUUAUAGUAUAAUGAAUCCCUAUGUACCCAUCCAUCCCUUCUGAGAAAGAUUUUUCUAUCUCCUGUUGUCACAUACUAAUUAAAUGGGCCUCUUCUGCCUUCCAUCCAGUUAAAUGAAUGGCUCAUAGAAUGUAUCAUUCUUGAAUCUUCUGUGUUGAGUGUACAACCUGCAUUCUUUGGUUAUCACUUAUGGUAUUGGGUAGUAUUCUGAGCCUUGUAAGUCAUAAUCUAAUAUUACUGUUCUCAGUAAAUACCUUUGUUAGCCUUAAAACUCUUGAUGUUUUGUCUUUCACUGAGAAGUCAAGCUCCAGCCCUUGAGAAUUGUCUUAGGAAGAUCAUUUCUGAAUGGUCUUAGUCUCUAACAAAAAUGUAUUAUUCUUGGUUAAACAUUUUAUUCAGUGGGAAUAACUUCUGAGUGUCAUGUAAGCCUUGGGAACUGAUAAGUUGAAAGCUUUUACUUUGACUUAAAUAGGAUUAUGUACAAACUUUGAAACUAUGAAGGAAGAAUUUUAAACUUAUACUUUUGAAAGCAUUCAGUAAGCUAUUUUUUUAGCAUCUGUGUUUUACUACAAAAUUAAUCCUGCUGCCUCUUUACCAGUUAGGUCACAAGGUUGUUUUAAAAGGUCCUAAAACAUGCACCCACUGUAAUGUACUGGGUGAUAACUUCUAGUGGAAAGCUAUUCACUGCACUUAUGCAAAUUAGGUGGCCCUUUCACUUGCUUUUAUUCCAUUCCAUAGAAGUACCUUUGUGCCUCUGGAGCUGAGCACAGGCCUUUGAGUUCAGUCUUUGUGAAAGCAGAGAAAUUCUCUAUUUGAAUAUUUGACGUGUAUGAGAUUUUUCAAUCUUUGGACAUAAAUAAGAAUAUGUUACUCCUCUUCAUUACUUUAAAGGAAGGGACUCUCAUUAUAAAUAUGAUAGGGCUUGUUCACUUUAUUUUCAAGUAUCUGUUGGGAUAAUUUUCACUUUUCUGGCUGCCUAAAGUGACCACACAAAAUAUAGUUUCGUUCUGCCUUUUAAACCUAAGUUGUAGAUUAUAGAUACAUUUUCAAUGUGCAAGACAACAGUAGGCAUUCUUGUUAAAUUAGUUCGAGAAAUUCAUUUUAUUUUGUACAAGGUACGAUUCCUCUGCACAGUGAACAAAUAUAUUACAAAUCUGGGUUAUUUAAAAAAGUAUUGCCAUUUCAUAGUUUCACUUAUGCUAUUGUACAAUAAUAGUGUUUUCUUUGUUUGAAUUGUAUGCACAUCACUUUGAGUGAAAACUAGUUUCUGUAAAAUAAUCACACAGAUCUUUCCAAGUUGCCAAUAAAAUGCACAGUGCUCAUAUAUAGGUUGACCACGAACCUGUGUGUGAUAGUGCUAGACGGAAGUUCCUAACAGUUGCUCUGUAAGAUUCAAAUGUCUCUUACCAGUAACUCCUAGAUACGUGAAGGCAGCUGUUGUCAACACAGAUUAAUCACACCCUCUGCCUUUCCCUUCUCUGUGCUGCCUAAUAUUAAUUGCAUUACAUUUCUUUAAAAAAUCAUAGAAUGCCAGAGCUGAGGGGUUGUGAGAGCUCCCUUACUCUCUACUUCUCUCCUUUUUAAUACACAAGGAAGAAAGGAGUCCAGAGAGGGCAAGUAACUCUCCUGACCCAGCGCUUUAGCAAUUCCACCAUGCUAACUACCUCUUGCCGAAUUUUGCCCAUGAGAUAGUUGGCAAAAAAGAGGUGAAACCUGAAUGUUGCUGCUGGUUUGCAGUUUGCCAGGCAGCAGUUACUGUACAUGCAGGGUAGGGGAAGAAGAUAAAACCUGGGAUUCAGAUGAAGUUUCUCCUGGCUGAUCUGACUUCGCCAUGCUUCUUGAUCCUUGCUUUACAAAGAUAAUUGAGCACUUUGCUGCCCUGACAUACUGAGGUAAGUCUCUUAUCUCUAUUUCUUCCUAUGUAUGUAUGAGACAUAUUUACUUGGGUCUACAAAGGAAUUUUCUAGUAUUUCUAUUUUGUAAGGCUUCAGUGGAAAGGAAAUUUGCUAUUGCUGAUCACUUGCUCCCAUGCACACAUGCAGCAUUCAUGUAAGUAUUCUAUAUUUUCCCCUAACGAUAAAAUUUGCUUAAGCCUUGUGUGAAGUGAGGGAGGGGGAUUUACUCAUUUAUUUCUUUUCUUGCUUUUGCUGGUUAUUGCCCAAACUAAUGGGUUCCAUGGCAGACUUCCAGGUUGUAUCAAGGGCCUCAGAACUACACUUCCUGUAGCAGCUAUAUGCCAGCUCUAUACCCGUUGAGUCCCUCUUCUGUAUACCUCUUUGGAAGGAAUUUUUACUGGCUGGACUCUUAUCAGAAUGGAGUAGUAUACGGGUGGCCUUUAGUUUCCUCGGUUUGCCCUUAUGGUCUUGAAUUCUUGUGAGGCGGUCCUCUUUUUUAGGGCUUGGGAAUUGGCUCCAUUUUGACUCCUGAGCUCCUGUCUACCUGUGUUUACUACUAGUGGGAGGUAUGGACACAUCCAAAUACUGGGAUCUGGAGCAUGAGCUCGUUUUGAUACGUUUUUGGCCCUCUGAGUAGGUGGUGGUUUUCAGUAGAAACACUUCAUACCCUUAUAUGCUGUUUACUGUGAAGUUUUACAUCAUGUUACAGCACCUGAUUACAGUCUUUAUUUGAUCAUUUCAUUUCCAUCAAGAAGCAUAAUGUACUUUAAGCAGACUGUUAAACUUGCUGUAUCCACUUUUGUCCAAUUUCCUCUACACUUUUAGGUCCUAUACUAUAUCAAGCUCAAGAUUUACAAAGAAAUGCUUGAAAGCAAGUACUCGUCUGACUCGAGGAAUGCCAACCAAAUAAAUAUGGGAGGCCAAACAGCCGUUGUUAGGGAUGCUUAAUUCACACCAGUCUGUGACUGAUUGCUUAAAGCAUCAUCUCAGAGUUCUAGUUCAUCUGGAAUGACUCAGGUAUUGGAUGGAGUAAGGAGACAUGACAAGGCCAGGACUGGGCAAUGUUGUUGAACCUUGAAUCAGCAAGAUUUGGUAAAGCUGGCCUAGAAAUCAUUGUUGUAGACUGAAAGAGGCUGCUGCUGCGCUUUGGAAAACUUUCCCCCUCCUACUACCACGAAGGGCAGAAGAGGGAAAGUUCAUCUGUAUUUAUUAAAGUCUUACUUUUAAAAAAUUGAAGUUGUCAGUAUUAGACUGUACGCUGUAAUCUUGGCCAUUGUGAUGGGUGGAUCAGACAUACACGUGUAGGUACUUUAGCGGUGAUAUUAGCAGUUUGUGUUUGUGUAUUAUUUAGGUAAUAAAACAGGUGGAAGGUAACAGCAACCAAAAGUACAUACACAUUUCAGGUGCUUUAAAGUAAUCCAUUCCCCUCCCCAGUUUCCCCUUCCCCCUAGGAAGUUUGUGAAACCUAUGCUACGUGUUUUCUUAAGCAUCAUUUUCAGAUGAUUAAGUAUGUCAAUAUAUAUAUUUAGCUGAUGUUCAGUAGCUGUAUCUUAAAUGUUUUAAAAGAUCCUAUAUAGUCCUGGGCAUUUUGGGUUGGGUGUGGGUGGGUGGAUAGGAUUUGCCUUUGUGAACAGACCUUUUGAACAAUGACCCCAGUCCCACUUGGAAGCUCUUCUUUAGUUCCAGGUGAAAGUAAUAACUAACACGCAGCUGAAGUCAGUCUGUGUCAUUAUUUCAAGUCAAGGGAUUGUCUUCUUUCAGAGAGUCAGAAUAUUCAGCAGAGCACAUUGCAAGAGAGAGGCUUCUCUCUUAAGACUGCUUGUCCUGGGAGGGCCCAUUGGCAGGGCUUUGUCUUACUGGGAGGAGGUCAUAAUGACCAGGAAUAUGGCUGUUCCUAGGUAGGUCGUAUGGAUUCUGGAUAUAGCUGGAGUUAUGACCGAGGCCUUCUUGGACCACACUGAUUGUGGGCUCUAAGGAAUAUAGUGAAAAAUGAGUUCAGAGAACAGAUUAGCUUUGGUUGCCUUGUUGGGGGGAAAAGAGUUCUAUUUAACUUGAUAGGGAGAGAAGCCAGGGAUUUAUAAAUCUGUGAUAAAUAUAUGAGGGUUAUGACUGAGGCUCAUGAAAUGGAAAACCUAAGUGAGUAUACUAUUAGAAUCCCAGGCUCUGGGUCAAAACCAAGAGGUUUAGAAUAUCCUAGAGGUAGGAGUGUCAUCCACAAGCCCAGAGACAUAGGUGAAACGAAGAAGGUGGGAGACGGUGAUUUAGAAACUUGCCAAAUGUCUGUUCUGAUUGUUUUCUUUUUUAAACUGGGAUUUGUAUCAGCAAUCAGUUGAAGUGUGUGUGUGUGUGUGUGUGUGUACGUGUGUGUAUGUACCCACUGACUCCCCACCCCCAGCAUUUCUGAUUCAUACUAGUCCUGGUGUUUUUUUAAAGCACAGUUAAUACGAGAAUUUGAUUUUCUGCGUGAGAGAGGAGGGUAGUCCUGGGAAAGACCGUUCGCCUUGGAUUCCUUAAAAAGCAACAAAAGAAGGGUGUGUUUUCAAGACCAGGUGAGUGGAGAGGGCUUGUUUGACUACGGAUACUGCACUAUUGCCCUGAUUUCACUAAGUUACUUAUUUGAGACACCUACCAACUUCAUAUAUAUUUUUAUUAGAUGUCGACAAGGAUGGUAUAUCUGUGUACGGAGACCCUCUGUGCACAGGCGACUUCAUUUCUACAUAGCUGCUUUCUGGAAGCUUGCAGGUGAGGAUGGGUGGGUCCUUAAUUGUGGCGUAAGGGUUUUCGCUGCUAUUCAAGGAACAAGUGCUAGAACUGCACACGGAUUCUUUCAUGUAAUCUGUAAGGCAAGAAAGAUUUCUUAGGAUGUGAGAGGACAUAAGACUUAAUUUCAAUACCAGAAACAGAUUGCAGUUUAUGUGCCUUCAGGAUCCUAGAGCUGUCAAAGCCUAUGAUAACCCAAGAUUUCCUUCUUAAAUAUGUUGGAGUGGUUUCCUAGGUAGGGAGAGUUCUUUUCUUAAAGAAACCUACAUUUUUGGAGGGACAGGAACAUUUUUGCUUUUGGCUGUCAGUUCUAGCACCAGAACAGGAUUAUUUUAUGGUAUCUGUAAUGCGCUUUCACAUCUAUUAUUUACUUUUUUACAAAAUCCUUCAGAGAUGGUUGAUAGUUUACAUUUUAUAGGAUGAAGGCCCAGAGAGAUGAAGUGACUUGGCUGAUGUCACAUAAGCUCAUAAAUAGCAGUGCCAAAACUUGAAUGCAUGCCUUGGGACUUCUUGGCCUGUUUGUUCUGUGAUAUCAUUCUUCCUCUGAAUUCUUUUUGAUGACUAAGAAGCUUAGAUUCAAAAAGAAGUAGGUGUGUGUUUUGGCACAGGUGUGGGCAACUUUUAGGCAGCAAACUUUGGCUGGCGGCAUCCCUGCUCUUGAGAAGGUUGUGAUCAGAGGUGGGGCUGACUGAAGUGUAACAGAGAUGUGAAAAGCACCUGGGUCUCAGGCUAGCCUUUGGAAAGUUCCUGUUUUCAAGUAAGCCUCACAGCGUAUCCCUGGGGUCACUUACCUUAGUUCUUGUGAAUGCUAACUGAAACCUAUUUUGACAGUAUCUUUUUCUGAUACCAGGAGAACUGCUUCCUCUCCUGCUGCCUGUCUAGUGCAUCAUCCCCAAGACUUCAGGGUAUGUUAGCGUACAAAAGGAUGCAAACUGAUUUCCAAAUAUGAGGCAAAGUAACUGUGGCUCACUGGAGGAAGAAAGUGUUUUCUUUGCGACCGGGAGUCACAAAAGGAAGGGGAGCCCCUCCUUCAGCCUGAGACUAUCAGUGCAGCUUCUAGAUCUUCCCAAGUGAGGCAAGACUGUUCUGAUGGCCUUUAAAAAGCAGUUGAUUCUCUCAUCUGGCAAUUCAGGCCCUCAUUCUGUGAGGAUCUGCCAGCCAGGGGGUCUAGAAAUAAGCAUGGAGUUGCAUGACUUGUCAGUCAUGAGUGGUCUUCAGAGGUCUAAAUUUCUAUAAGUGGUAGCAGAUGGUGAAAUUUCUAUAUUUCUCAGCUUUAAAUUUCUGUAAGUGGUAGCAGAUUGUGAAAUUCUUGGACAGUCUUCCACUAGAACCAUCACAUGCUUUCUGCCUCCAGCUUGUGAGAUUAAUGAAAAUGUAAAAAAAAAAAAAAAAAAAAAAUUGAUCAUUGUAACUCAUGGGGUGACUAGCUGUUCCCUUAGGUCCAAGGAGAGCAGAACACUCCAUGUGGAUGCAAGUUGAGAUGUUUGCUACCACUAGCAGUCUUUUCUCCUGUAACAGGUGACUGGGUGGGAGGGGAUCUCCUUUUCUGCUAGUACAGGGUUACCGAUGUUUGUUUCAGAGGGUAACAUUUCCUUAAUCUUGUACAAAAGUACAUUCACCCAUUAAUUCAUUCAAGUGUUCACAACACCUGUGAUCUAGCUUAGAACAAUAAUUCUUCUCUCUUCCCCUUAUUUAUUGCUAAUGAGGAAACUGAAGCUUGGAGUGAGGAAGUGACUUCCCCAGGGUCACACUGCUCAUCGGUAGUAGAGCAUGCUCCAGAACCAGGCUCAGAACAUUUUCCAUCUCACCCUGGCCCACAGGUAGAGAGAGGAUGUUGGCCUUGGUCCCAUUGCAGAUUGUGGCCUCUUUGUAGCAUAUAGAACCCAAGAGAGGAGUAAGAGAAAACAUUCUUGCUAGACAAUGAGCAGGCCCAGCUGUUGGUGAGGCUCUCAUGAAGAAAGGGGGAUGCAGAUCCUGUGAGUCCUGGGCCACAACCUGCCCAGAGCCACAUAAAGCUGCUUCUACUGAGUUGUUUUCUUUUUUUCUUUCCUUUCUUCCCUCUUUCCUUCCCUUCCUUCCUUUUUACUACUUUGUUUCUUAGUACAAGGGCUGGAAGUAUGUCCAAGAACCCCAGCAUAGUCCAUCGGUCCCACUCUGGUCUCUGAACUUGGUAGCCAAGGAGUAAGGCAGUACUCAGGACUCAGAGCUGCUAACGAGCUGAGACUAGAAUUGCUUAAAGAAAGGCUGUCUCCUGAGUGAAAAGUCCUAACACCCCACCCCUACCUUCUCACCCAGACACAUCCUUUUACUUUGAUUGGUGGGUGCCUUAGUUGCAUGUUUUCUAAAACUUAAGGAAUAGCAAUAGAAAAGGUAGCCCUUAUAGCUAGUAUCUUCACUCCAUUUAGGUCAUUUGAAACUUGUUACAUCUGUGAAGAGGGCUGGACACGAAGGACUAGGAUUACUACUUCAGAAAUGAGGACAGCGAAGCUCAUAAAGUUUGCUUGAUGCUCGUAAGUGGUCAAGUUACGACUCAACUCAUCUUCUCUGGUAUCUAGUCAUGGUGUUUUCCUCCUUCCAUCUGGUUACUUGUGCUGCUGUUCUGUAUCUUCCAAUGCAAAGUGUAGCUGCAACAGCUUUGUUUUACCCUCAACGAGGAAUACCUUCUAUCGAUGGGGGCCAAGCCCUGCUGGGAGAGAAAGGCCAAACUCUAAGCUUUUGGUGGAUAUCCCAUGAUCAAUUUAUUUGUGGCAGUGGGGGAGUCUUGAAGCUGUAGCGCAAAGCUGAAAAGAGCCACAGUCAGCCAGUAGUGCCCCUCUUCUCAUUUCCACCAGAAAAAUCAAGGCUGCCUUCAAAUUUGGAGGUAUGCAGUAGUCUCCUGCCUUCCCCAAUCCACAGGGAUACUUGUCCACGACCCCCAGUGGAUGCAUGAAACCACAGAUGGUACUGAACCCUUUAUAUACUGUUGUUUUUUCCUUUGCAUACAUACCGAUGAUAGAGUUUAACUUAUAAGUCAGGUACAAUAAGAGAUUAACAAUAAUAGAACAAUUAUAACAAUAUAAUGUAAUAGAUGUUAUGUGAAUGGGGUUUCUGUCAAAACACUGUACUGCACUCACCUUUCUUCUUGCGAUGGUGAGGUGAGGUGAAUGACCUAGGCAUUGUGACAGGCCACUAUUGAUUGGCCUUGAUCAUGUGCUUCUGGAUCACUGUUGACUACGGGUAACUGAAACCACGGAAAGCAAAACUGCAGGUAAGGGGGACUACUGUAAAUAGUUUGCUGUGCAGCAGGGGAUGCACCUAAGUGGAUGAAAGACAAGUUGGGGUUCGGGGAGGGGAUUCGUUUUAAGGAGAAGCUGUAUCUCAUAAAGGGCCCAGAGUGAAAGAAAGGAUGGAGAAGCAUGUAUGUGUUGAGGUGGGUGAGAGAGGGUGUUGGAUAAUAAAAUCAUCUGGAUUCUAUUUUGGGGAACUGGAGGGAGGAAAGGGCCAGGCUAGCUGAAAAACUUACACUUUAGAAAGCUAUUCUUUUCUCCAGCUGAGUCAUCUACCUGCCUGCCCUCAGGGAGGGUGGGGUAAGGGGAAGAGUAACCUCUCUCAGGCACUUCCCCAUCCUUUUACAGCCCCACCCUACACUAGCCAGUCCCUGCACUUCAGGGCAUUUUGCAAGGAAAGGGGAAGCCUCAACCAAAGCCACCUAAGCUUUGGAGAGUCACUCCUCAGCGGCCCGUAACUAGCAUCUGGACCAAAGACUUAGCUUUAUAAUGCCUUAGCAUUUUUUCUCAGGGCCUUGGAAAUGAGCCUAUACCUCUUCAUUUUAUAAAGGAAGCAGCAAAUCCAGAGAGGGGAAAUGACUUUCCGAGGCCAUCCUUAGGUUCCUGCUCCCCACACUCAUUGUCUCCAGGAGCAUCUGACCAUCCAUCGCCUUCAGGAGAUCCUGCAAGCACGACCACCCACCUCCAACAAUCAACCUGGGUGUCCCCAAGGAUACCAUGUGACUCUGGGGUGUGUGUGUGUAUGUGUGGGGAGGGGCAGGAGAGGUGAGGCUGGGGGCAUAGUCUUUACCUGAGAGUGAGUAGUCCGUGCUGGUCAUCCUCAUGGCAGGUGUGUAGGAGACACGGGGAGCCAGGUCACGGCCUUUCUCUUUCUGUCGCCGCCGGCGCCAGGCGAACAGGCCCAACAGCACCACAAUGAGGAACAACAGGAGGACGAUGCCUGUGACAGCACCCACCGAGUGCCGCUCUGCACCCAGCGCCGGGCUGAUCUUGGUGUAGGGAUUCAGCUCCUCCAUCAUGAGGGCAGCUGUGAAGGGAGGGAGGACACGAGUCUGGGGGAGGCCUCUUGCUCUUCAGAUCUUGGCCCAGGGCCUAGACUCCUCUAAUGUUAGGAGACCUGGGUUCUGGUCUUCGGCCCUAUUCUUCAAUCCCUGUGUGAUCCUGUCCCUCACCGCGCCUGUGUUCUUCAACUGUCUACAGCAGAUGGACUUCCAGGGUCACGACCAAGAACAAAUGUGAUCACGGAUGGCAAAUAAAAUAACAACAAAUGUG
Lynx canadensis (Canada lynx) is the source of this 11282-nucleotide long non-coding RNA. RefSeq lists it as uncharacterized. The transcript is spliced from 2 exons. The record is from RefSeq and is a predicted model, not a curated record. NCBI's taxonomy places the organism in Eukaryota, Metazoa, Chordata, Mammalia, Carnivora, Felidae.